Molecule: long non-coding RNA, 502 nt
Organism: Felis catus (domestic cat)
Lineage: Eukaryota; Metazoa; Chordata; Mammalia; Carnivora; Felidae
Exons: 4
Source: RefSeq, a predicted model, not a curated record
GGAAGGUCAAGGGGAGAAAGUGCAAGUGAAGUGCAAGAGAAGGAGAAAAAGCGAAAGAGACCCCGAAAGAGAAGGUAAAAGGAAUCAAGUGAGCUCGACAAUUUUCCCUUCAAACCCACUUGACAAGUGAAAGAAUAUUCCCUGAUGUUCUCUUUGCAUCUGCUUUCGGCUGACAAUGACUGCUCCUUGAGGGAACCUUGAGGGUCUGUGAUGCUGGAAGGGGACCAAGAGCCACAAGACAAGGAGGCGUCAACUUCCUCAUUUGGAAAAUCCGAAUAAGCCUAGCGCUCCCCCCUCCUGGGUUUGUUGUGAGAACGAAAUAAGAUGACGACAUCACAUCACACCGCCAGAGAUAAAGGAGGAUAAGAGGAGAUCCUCAGAUGAGGAGCCCAGGACGCGGCAGGAUUCUGGGAGGGACGAGAGACUGCGAACAUUUCUGCUGACUCGGUGCCCUCGCCCUGGAAUCGGCAAGUGGCUUUUCUCCCAGGCGCCCUUGUGUGUG